RNAcentral lists this ribosomal RNA (497 nucleotides) under uncultured bacterium. RNAcentral's name for it is "partial 16S ribosomal RNA". It matches the Rfam family "Bacterial small subunit ribosomal RNA", at positions 29 to 506 of the family's 1533-position model. The record is from RNAcentral.
AGCGAACGCUGGCGGCGUGCCCAACACAUGCAAGUCGAACGUGAAAAGGGAAACCUGAGUAAAGUGGCGUACGGGUGAGUAACGCGUAGGUAAUCUACCCCAGAAUCUGGAAUAACCUGCCGAACGGCGGGCUAAUACUGGAUAGAGCGAGGGAACUCGUAAGAGAGUUUUUCGGGAAAGGGAGCCCGCAAGGGCCUUCGUUCUGGGAUGAGCCUGCGUCUCAUUAGCUAGUUGGUAAGGUAACGGCUUACCAAGGCGAUGAUGAGUAGCUGGUCUGAGAGGAUGAGCAGCCACACUGGAACUGAAACACGGUCCAGACUCCUACGGGAGGCAGCAGUGGGGAAUCUUGCGCAAUGGACGAAAGUCUGACGCAGCCACGCCGCGUGAGUGAAGAAGGCCUUCGGGUUGUAAAGCUCUGUCGGAUGGGACGAACAUCUUCAUAGUGAAGAGCUAUGAGGACGGACGGUACCAUCAAAGGAAGCACCGGCUAACUCCGU